GAAUUCAACUCCUACGGGAGGCAGCAGUAGGGAAUCUUCCACAAUGGACGAAAGUCUGAUGGAGCAACGCCGCGUGAGUGAAGAAGGUUUUCGGAUCGUAAAACUCUGUUGUAAGGGAAGAACACGUACGAGAGUAACUGCUCGUACCUUGACGGUACCUUAUUAGAAAGCCACGGCUAACUACGUGCCAGCAGCCGCGGUAAUACGUAGGUGGCAAGCGUUGUCCGGAAUUAUUGGGCGUAAAGCGCGCGCAGGCGGUUCUUUAAGUCUGAUGUGAAAGCCCACGGCUCAACCGUGGAGGGUCAUUGGAAACUGGAGAACUUGAGUACAGAAGAGGAAAGCGGAAUUCCACGUGUAGCGGUGAAAUGCGUAGAGAUGUGGAGGAACACCAGUGGCGAAGGCGGCUUUCUGGUCUGUAACUGACGCUGAGGCGCGAAAGCGUGGGGAGCAAACAGGAUUAGAAACCCUAGUAGUCCAGGCGUU
This 483-nucleotide ribosomal RNA is filed under the name uncultured bacterium. RNAcentral's name for it is "bacterial SSU rRNA". It matches the Rfam family "Bacterial small subunit ribosomal RNA", at positions 328 to 803 of the family's 1533-position model. The record is from RNAcentral.